RNAcentral lists this ribosomal RNA (484 nucleotides) under uncultured bacterium. RNAcentral's name for it is "partial 16S ribosomal RNA". It matches the Rfam family "Bacterial small subunit ribosomal RNA", at positions 30 to 507 of the family's 1533-position model. The record is from RNAcentral.
AUUGAACGCUGGCGGCAGGCCUAACGCAUGCAAGUCGAGCGGAUGAAGGGAGCUUGCUCCUGGAUUCAGCGGCGGACGGGUGAGUAAUGCCUAGGAAUCUGCCUGGUAGUGGGGGAUAACGUCCGGAAACGGGCGCUAAUACCGCAUACGUCCUGAGGGAGAAAGUUGGGGAUCUUCGUACCUCACGCUAUCAGAUGAGCCUAGGUCGGAUUAGCUAGUUGGUGGGGUAAAGGCCUACCAAGGCGACGAUCCGUAACUGGUCUGAGAGGAUGAUCAGUCACACUGGAACUGAGACACGGUCCAGACUCCUACGGGAGGCAGCAGUGGGGAAUAUUGGACAAUGGGCGAAAGCCUGAUCCAGCCAUGCCGCGUGUGUGAAGAAGGUCUUCGGAUUGUAAAGCACUUUAAGUUGGGAGGAAGGGCAGUAAGUUAAUACCUUGCUGUUUUGACGUUACCAACAGAAUAAGCACCGGCUAACUUCGUG